AUUAUAAUAGUUUAAACAAAACAGAGGUUUUGUAAACCUAAAUUGACUUUUCUUAUAAUA
This 60-nucleotide transfer RNA is filed under the name Alectorobius atacamensis. RNAcentral's name for it is "tRNA-Thr". The record is from RNAcentral. Lineage: Eukaryota; Metazoa; Arthropoda; Arachnida; Ixodida; Argasidae.